Molecule: ribosomal RNA, 254 nt
Filed under: uncultured bacterium
Lineage: Bacteria
Description: partial 16S ribosomal RNA
Rfam family: Bacterial small subunit ribosomal RNA
Source: RNAcentral
UACGGGGGGAGCAAGCGUUGUUCGGAUUUACUGGGCGUAAAGGGCGCGUAGGCGGUCAGCACAAGUCAGUUGUGAAAUCUCCGGGCUUAACCCGGAAAGGUCAACUGAUACUGUGCGACUAGAGUGCGGAAGGGGCAACUGGAAUUCUUGGUGUAGCGGUGAAAUGCGUAGAUAUCAAGAGGAACACCUGCGGCGAAGGCGGGUUGCUAGGCCGACACUGACGCUGAAGCGCGAAAGCCAGGGGAGCGAACAGG